Molecule: ribosomal RNA, 404 nt
Filed under: uncultured bacterium
Lineage: Bacteria
Description: partial 16S ribosomal RNA
Rfam family: Bacterial small subunit ribosomal RNA
Source: RNAcentral
GACGAACGCUGGCGGCGUGCCUAAUACAUGCAAGUGAAGUUCAGUGGCGGACGGGUGAGUAAUGUAUGGGGACUGCCCGAUAGAGGGGGAUAACUCCUGGAAACGGUAGCUCAUACCGCAUACAAUUGGAUAACCUAUAGGGGAUUAGCUAGUAGGUGAGGUACUGGCUCCCCGAGGCGACGAUCCCUAGCUGGUCUGAGAGGAUGAUCAGCCAAACUGGGACUGAGACACGGCCCAGACUCCUACGGAGGCAGCAGUGGGGAAUAUUGCACAAUGGGCGCAAGCCUGAUGCAGCCAUGCCGCGUGUAUGAAGAAGGCCCUAGGGUUGUAAAGUACUUUCAGUCGGGAGGCGUUACCGACAGAAGAAGCACCGGCUAACUCCGUGCCAGCAGCCGCGGUAAUAC